GACGAACGCUGGCGGCGUGCUUAACACAUGCAAGUCGAACGGACAGGCCCUGCGUUUGUGGGGUGCUCGAGAGGCGAACGGGUGAGUAACACGUGAGUAACACGCCCUUGAAUUAGGGGUAACACCAGGGAAAUCGGGCUCAAAUAGGAUAGGAGCUCUUGCACCGUGGGGGUGGUUGGAAAGAUUCGGCUGUUGGGGAUGGACUCGAGGGUUAUCCGCUUGUUUGUGGGGUAGUGGCUUACCAAGGCUUGGACGGGUAGCCGGCCUGAGAGGGUGACCGGCCACAUUGGGACUGAGGUACGGCCCAGACUCCUACGGGACGCAGCAGUGGGGAAUAUUGCACAAUGGGCGGAAGCCUGAUGCAGCAACGCCGCGUUCGGGAUGCCGGCCUUCGGGUUGUGAACCGCUUUCGCCUGUGACGAGGCGUGAGUGACGGUAAUGGGUAAAGAAGCACCGGCUAACUACGUG
This 468-nucleotide ribosomal RNA is filed under the name uncultured bacterium. RNAcentral describes it as "partial 16S ribosomal RNA". It matches the Rfam family "Bacterial small subunit ribosomal RNA", at positions 28 to 507 of the family's 1533-position model. The record is from RNAcentral.